UACGGAGGGUGCGAGCGUUGUCCGGAAUCACUGGGCGUAAAGGGCGCGUAGGCGGGAUGGCAAGUCGGUCGUGAAAUCCUUCGGCUCAACCGAAGAACGUCGAUCGAUACUGCUGUUCUUGAGGGUUGCAGAGGAGACUGGAAUUCCCGGUGUAGCGGUGAAAUGUGUAGAGAUCGGGAGGAACACCGGUGGCGAAGGCGGGUCUCUGGGCAAUUCCUGACGCUGAGGCGCGAAAGCGUGGGGAGCAAACGGG
RNAcentral lists this ribosomal RNA (253 nucleotides) under uncultured bacterium. Its description in RNAcentral is "partial 16S ribosomal RNA". It matches the Rfam family "Bacterial small subunit ribosomal RNA", at positions 524 to 776 of the family's 1533-position model. The record is from RNAcentral.